This 253-nucleotide ribosomal RNA is filed under the name uncultured bacterium. RNAcentral's name for it is "partial 16S ribosomal RNA". It matches the Rfam family "Bacterial small subunit ribosomal RNA", at positions 524 to 776 of the family's 1533-position model. The record is from RNAcentral.
UACAGAGGGUGCGAGCGUUAACCGGAAUUACUGGGCGUAAAGCGUGCGUAGACGGCUAUCUAAGUCGGGUGUGAAAGCCCCGGGCUCAACCUGGGAAUUGCAUUCGAGACUGAAUAGCUAGGGUACGGUAGAGGGAAGCGGAAUUUCCGGUGUAGCGGUGAAAUGCGUAGAUAUCGGAAGGAACAUCAGUGGCGAAAGCGGCUUCCUGGACCAGUACCGACGUUCAGGCACGAAAGCGUGGGGAGCAAACAGG